GUAUAAGAGACAGCAGCCGCCGCGGUAAUACGAAGGGGGCUAGCGUUGUUCGGAAUUACUGGGCGUAAAGCGCACGUAGGCGGAUAUUUAAGUCAGGGGUGAAAUCCCGCAGCUCAACUGCGGAACUGCCUUUGAUACUGGGUAUCUUGAGUAUGGAAGAGGUUAGUGGAAUUGCGAGUGUAGAGGUGAAAUUCGUAGAUAUUCGCAGGAACACCAGUGGCGAAGGCGGCUAACUGGUCCAUAACUGACGCUGAGGUGCGAAAGCGUGGGGAGCAAACAGGAUUAGAGACCCCUGUAGUCCCUGUCUCUUAUAC
RNAcentral lists this ribosomal RNA (314 nucleotides) under uncultured bacterium. Its description in RNAcentral is "partial 16S ribosomal RNA". It matches the Rfam family "Bacterial small subunit ribosomal RNA", at positions 495 to 807 of the family's 1533-position model. The record is from RNAcentral.